GGCCCAGAUCGUUUACCGUGAAAAAAUUAGAGUGUUCAAAGCAGGCAGAUCCAAUUUUCUGCCACCGAAUACAUUAGCAUGGGAUAAUGGAAUAGGACCCUGUCCUCCUAUUUUCAGUUGGUUUUGGCAGCGCGAGGACUAGGGUAAUGAUUAAUAGGGAUAGUUGGGGGCAUUAAUAUUUAAUUGUCAGAGGUGAAAUUCUUGGAUUUAUGAAAGAUUAACUUCUGCGAAAGCAUCUGCCAAGGAUGUUUUCAUUAAUCAAGAACGAAAGUUAGGGGAUCGAAGACGAUCAGAUACCGUCGUAGUCUUAACCAUAAACGAUGCCGACCAGCGAUUAGGAGACGUUGAAUACAAAACACCACCAUCGGCGCGGUCGUCCUUGGCGUCGGUCUUUCGGGGCCGGCGCGGGGACGGCUUAGCCCGGUGGCACCGGUGAAUGACUCCCCUAGCAGCUUGUGAGA
Molecule: ribosomal RNA, 461 nt
Filed under: Acanthamoeba sp. 413GAB
Lineage: Eukaryota; Discosea; Longamoebia; Acanthamoebidae
Also listed under: 2 other names
Description: SSU rRNA
Rfam family: Eukaryotic small subunit ribosomal RNA
Source: RNAcentral